Triticum urartu is the source of this 1981-nucleotide long non-coding RNA. RefSeq lists it as uncharacterized. The record is from RefSeq and is a predicted model, not a curated record. NCBI's taxonomy places the organism in Eukaryota, Viridiplantae, Streptophyta, Magnoliopsida, Poales, Poaceae.
AAGUACUGGCUGAUGCUCAAAAAAAAACUCCAAGUACUGGCUUUGACGAACGGCGCUUGGGGUAAAAAAAAAGUAAUUCUCAGAGACGCUAUUUUCCCCUGGAUUCGCGGCCGGAGAGGGUUGUACUCAUUGCGACGGCGGAGGCGACGGGGGAUGGGUUCGAGUUCUUAUCCGAUCCGGUUGAUAGAUUCCCUGUGCUUGCGUUGAUGGCGGUGACUACGCGCCACCGGCGCAGCCCGCUCCAGAUCUGCUGGAUAUAGCAGGCGAGUCUAGCAUUGAUGAUGUGGGCGACCGGCCGCCGGCACUAAGUAGAACUGAACGGCGUUUGCUCGAGCAUGAGCUUGUCGGUGCCGGACUUAGAACAGUGAACAGGCAAGGACGACCGGCAAGGACGAUUUGCUUCUGCAAGUUCAAACCAUUUCGUUUCAGUUUCUUGAUUCUAGACGAUGGAUGUAGAGCAGGCCAGACACUAUGGGCCUGUUCGUUGUCCCUCCCAUUCCGUGACUCCGCUCCCGGAGCAGCCAAAGUAGCAGUUCAAAAUCAUGGAGCGGGGAACUCUGCGGAUCCUUGGAUUUGGCGGAGCUGAUGGUUUCCCAAACAGCUCCUAUAUGUGCUUUUCUUUCCUCUCGCGAUGUACUCUAGAUGAUUGUAACCUGAUUGGUGAUGAUGAAUACAGUCAGCAUUUCAUCUAUUCUCAAAAGAAUAAAAAUCCAGUUGGCACUGCUAACUCUUCAAACACUACCAUCGUGCGUGUUUUCUCUCAGAAUCUGUUUGUCAAUGGUUUGUGUUAAUUACUUCUGCACUGACCUAUUGAGCAUGAACAUAAUUGAAUAUCAUGACGAACUGGUAAAUGAAUAUUUUAAUGAGUAUGCAUACACUUAACUUGAAAACUUCUAUUGUUUGUCAGUACAUGGUGUUUUCUAGAGCUAUAGAACCUUAAAAUUACAGCACGAGAGGAGUUUGCCCUUGGUACUAGUCAACCGAUUAUGCAUGAAACGGUUUACAUCGUGCAAGGCUCGUGUUGCACGGCCGCCUACAGAACGGCCACCAUGCAUGCAUUGGCAGAGUGUGCACAUUCAGGGGAUACGCAGAGAAGCAUGCUGAAACUGUGGAGAAAACAUCAUGUUGAAGGGAGACACCAAUAUGGUAACCAUCUUUCAUCUUCUUUGAUCUCAGGUCACCAGUUUGGCGAAUUCUUUGGAAGCAAGAUUUUUUUGCUGGAUGCUUUGCAUGGGAUCAUGCCGCUGAAAUCUAUCCUUGCAAAUAGACACACAUCGGUACUGAAGGUCACUGCCCAAUCUGUAACUUGGGCGUUGAGGAUGUUAAACACUUGCUUUUUGAGUGUACGCCUGCAGUGGAAUUAUGGAAAUUGCAUGUUCAUACCAUCAUCUUUGAUGUGAUGCACGUUGAUGGAUUGAGUUCGGUAAUCAUGGAAUGUUCCUGGAGCACCUAAUGUUACUCUUCCAGAACUGCUGGCCGUCAGUGCAUGGUACCUUUGGUGUAUUCAUCAGCAACGAAAUCAUAGUGAGACUGUCCCACCUCUAAACAACAGGCGCCUUCCAGAAAAUGUAUCGCCAUGCUGUCAAAACGAUGGAAGAAGCCAGACAUGGGAUUUGUCAAACUCAACGUCGAUGCUUCCUUAUUAUAAGGGAUACACAUGGAAAUCUUGUGCCAGCUUCAUGCGAACAUAUAACUUUGUCUCUGACUAUUGCUAUGAAAGUUUUGAAUUGGCAAAUUCUAUUAGAUGCAACAACGUUCAAGCUGAAUCAGACUUGCUGGAGGUUAUCAAUGCAUGCUAGGGUCAGGAAACUUGAUGGAACGUAUCAGCUGCUAUUUUUGCGAGUAUCAUCGACACUGCAAAAUCGAUUGGGAAUGUCCAAUUUAAUCAUUGUCCAAGGGACUCAAACUCUGGUACAUGAGCUAGCGAAGCACUCUAUUACGUUUAUGGCUACAUGUAAUUGGGUUGAUGGAACCUCCUGAU